AUUGAACGCUGGCGGCAGGCUUAACACAUGCAAGUCGAGCGGGGUGAUGGUGCUUGCACUAUCACUUAGCGGCGGACGGGUGAGUAAUGCUUAGGAAUCUGCCUAUUAGUGGGGGACAACAUCUCGAAAGGGAUGCUAAUACCGCAUACGUCCUACGGGAGAAAGCAGGGGAUCACUUGUGACCUUGCGCUAAUAGAUGAGCCUAAGUCGGAUUAGCUAGUUGGUGGGGUAAAGGCCUACCAAGGCGACGAUCUGUAGCGGGCUGGAGAGGAUGAUCCGCCACACUGGGACUGAGACAAGGCCCAGACUCCUACGGGAGGCAGCAGUGGGGAAUAUUGGACAAUGGGGGGAACCCUGAUCCAGCCAUGCCGCGUGUGUGAAGAAGGCCUUAUGGUUGUAAAGCACUUUAAGCGAGGAGGAGGCUCUUUUGGUUAACAUCCAAGAUGAGUGGACGUUACUCGCAGAAUAAGCACCGGCUAACUCUGUGCCAGCAGCCGCCGUAA
RNAcentral lists this ribosomal RNA (503 nucleotides) under uncultured bacterium. Its description in RNAcentral is "partial 16S ribosomal RNA". It matches the Rfam family "Bacterial small subunit ribosomal RNA", at positions 30 to 523 of the family's 1533-position model. The record is from RNAcentral.